GGAAACACAGCUUUUAAAAGCAACAUUACCAACCAUUUUGAGGCAUGGGUUUUAGGAAUUAGGUACCAUAUUGAAUGGAUCUCACCUUUCACCAGGUCUGAAAAUGGUCAUUCAUUUUUAUGCAUUUACCUUUAAGCACCAUAUAAAUAAUAUCUAAUGUACUUCUAAAAAAGUGAAUGCUGUAUUUCAAAGCAGCCGAACUCUUUUCAGGGCAAAAUGGUGCCUUAAGCAGACCAUGAUUUUUCUCAUCAAAAAUACACCAUCCACUUUUAGGUUAGAGCCACAAAGCUCCAUAAAAACCAGAAGUCAGAGUGAAGCAUAUCUUGGCAGAUGAUAAUACCCAUGUAUUGAUAAGUGUAAUGGUCAGUUAUUUAUGAGUCCUGUCUACUCACAGAUCAGCUGGAUCACAGGUAUUACUUAGAGAUGGAAGCUGAGCAGUAAGCACUUGAUAGAUGGAAGCUGGAUCAAAUAGAGAAUUGGGUUUUAUAGGUUGAACUGUGCACCCCCUAAAAUUUACCUAUUAUAGUCUUAAUCCACAAUACCUCAGGACCUGAUUCUACUUGGAGAUGGAUCCUUAAAGAGGUAAUAAAAUUAAAAUGAAGUCUUCAGGGUGAGCCCUAAUUUGAUAUGACUGGUGUCAUUUUUAAAAGAGAUUAGGGGAGUGCCCAUCAUGGCACAGCAGAAACAAACUGGACUAGGAACCAUGAGGUUGCGGGUUCAGUCCCUGGCCUCACUCAGUGGGUUAGGACCCGGCAUUGCCAUGGGCUGUGGUGUGGGUUGCAGACAUGGCUCGGAUCUGAUGUUGCUGUAGCUGUGGCAUAGGCCGGUGGCUGUGUCUCCGAUUGGACUCCUGGCCUGGGAACCUCCAAGUGCUGCAGGGGGAGAAGGUGGCUAUCUAUAAGACAAAGAGAAAGGCUUCAAAAGAAACCAAUCCUAACAACACGUUGAUCUCAAACUUCUAGAUUUCAGAAUUGUGAGAAGAUGAAUAUCUCUUAAGUCACCAGAUCAGUACUUGUUAGGCAGUCCUAGCAAUAAGAUACACUGUGUUUAAGAGACAUAAGGAGAUUGUUAAUUCAGCCAUACUUCUCUGAUGCAAAUACUUAAGGUGCGUAGAUGCAAAGAAUUGAGUUUUUGAUUGGUUGGUUGGUAACAUGUGGAAGGUGGAACCUGCUCCAGAGCAGCAAUCCAAGAGCUGCAGUAACAAGUCAGAUCCCCAACCCACUGUGCCACAGAGAACUCCUAGAUGCAAUGAAUUUUUAAAAAGCAAUCAGCAUCUUGAAAGACAAGGCAGAAUCUCUCUGCUGUGAGAGAUUCAAAGUGGUUGGCAUUUUUUCUUGUGCCUAGAAAAUUAAAGCCAGAAAGAAAUUUAGAAAGAUCAUCAGAUUUCAGGAAUUGUUCAGUCUUGUUUGUUAUCUGCAGAACUUAUGUCUUUAGCUUUGAUAUUUUAACAUAAUACAGAGCUUGACAGACACAGCACUGGGGGCUUGUGCACUGUGUUGCAGGAAUCUGAUACAUGGAUAAAUUUGCCAGAAAUAGUGAGGUGUGGAUGCUAGAGAUAGAACUAAAUGAGCUCACUUAUAUAACCUCUCAUUCUUAGAGGAGUAAUUGCAGCUCAGAGAUAUUUAGUGACUUACUGCCGGUCAGUCAGUCAGUCCAGCAGUGCAGGAUGGAACUGGAACAAACUCAGCUUAGGUUGUUGGAAAAACAAGACUUGGAGAUGAGUAUUUUGUGUGAUAAAAACAGGACAUUAAAAAAAAUUUUUUUUAAUUAAAAAAAAAAAAUAGGAGUUCCCGUCCUGGCGCAGUGGUGAACGAAUCCGACUAGGAACCAUGAGGUUGCCGGUUUGGUCCCUACCCUUGCUCAGUGGGUUAACGAUCCGGCAUUGCCUGAGCUGUGGUGUAGGUUGCAGACGCGGCUCGAAUCCCGCGUUGCUGUGGCUCUGGCGUAGGCUGGUGGCUACAGCUCCAGUUCGACCCCUAGCCUGGGAACCUCCAUAUGCCGCGGGAGCAGCCCAA
RNAcentral lists this long non-coding RNA (2015 nucleotides) under Sus scrofa (pig). RNAcentral's name for it is "lncRNA (ENSSSCG00015011305.1)". The record is from RNAcentral. Lineage: Eukaryota; Metazoa; Chordata; Mammalia; Artiodactyla; Suidae.